This 5759-nucleotide long non-coding RNA is filed under the name Brassica napus (rape). RNAcentral describes it as "long non-coding RNA (BNAP_LNC004876)". The record is from RNAcentral. Lineage: Eukaryota; Viridiplantae; Streptophyta; Magnoliopsida; Brassicales; Brassicaceae.
GGAAACAAGAAUUGAAUUACAUCAAGAGGAACAAGAAUACAAUCACUUUGAGAUUACGAAAUUGAAUGACAUUUUUACCUCGGGACCCAGUCAGGUAUAUGAACGAAUACAAGUUAUACAUUUUGGGUUCUUUGUUUGAGCUUUUCAUAUCGUUUGAAAGCGGUGAGAAAACAAAUAUACCUGAUGAUAAAAAGGUCAGAAUUUGUCAAAGAGUAUGGUUUAAAGUAUCUUCUUCAUGUGUUCUCUAGUUGGUGGACUUGCAGAGGAAGCAGAUACUGUCGACCCAGCUCUUCUUCUGUUUUGUGCUUUGAGACUUGGUGUUUCUCGCUUAUAAUAUCAAUAACUUUAGAGCUUGAUGUAAACAAAUUAAAAAUUGGCAAAAAGAGUCAAAGUGUGUACGUAGAAUUCUAUAUCGUAUUUAUUUAUUUUUUAUUCUAGUUAGGUUUAAUAAUGUUUAUUCUAUUUAAUUUAAUAUUUGAUGAUAUAUAUUAAUAUAUAUGUCUGAGUGGACUAAAUAUUUAUAACUAAAACAAUCAAGUUCUUUUUUUUUUUUUUGACAAAGAACAGUUAAGUACUUUAAAGUAAAGUUCACUAUGGAACCGAAAAUAAAUAUGAUCGUAUAUAUUUAACAAUGUCAUUCGUAUAUGGUUUUGAACUCACUGUUUUAUUUUUAUCAGUACUUUUCACUUCCGCGACAUUUUUAUUUAGUUUUUAAUCCUUAAACUUGAAUUUCUAAGUCGAUAUUUAUACUUUAAACACAAUAUUCAACAACUUUAAACACCAUUUCCCACCAGCUGAUCCUUCAUUUGUGAUUGACUGAUUUCCCUUCUGUUCAUUUAUUAUGGAAAAGGAUAAAUUUGAGAAAAAAGGGUCCAAUCGAAGGUAGGUGUAGUUGUUUAGGUAAGAAAGAAGCUUGCUUGUACCUUCUGGUAAUGUGUUCGUAAAAACUGAACCUAUAAACCCAAUCCACCUACCCAUCUUUUCUUCCAUUUUAUUUUUACUCCAAGUUUCCUUCCAAUUUUAGUAUAUAUCUAUCCCUGUUCGACCAAACAAAAAAAUAUUUUUUUCUGCUCGAAUUUAAUAAUGAAGUGUGUUUUAGUACACACAAUUUUAACUGACAUAAUAUUAUUAUUUUUGCGCAACAUAACUUACAUAAAACCCUACUUUUCUUUUUUUCUAUCAAAACAUAAAAGCAUACUUUAUCUUCUUUAAAUUUAAAUACGCGUAUAAUAUCCGUGACAAAAAAAUAUACGUAUAAUAAAUUGAAACAAGUCGUGAUAAUUUCAACAUCGACUCAUCAGUCACAGAAGUUUCUCAUUAAUCAAAUUGAAAAUACACAAAAGAUACCAUUUUAAAUGGUUUCAUCCAUCAAAGUAGUUGGACAUAGUUAGAUGCAUCUUGGUUAAGUGCAAACUUUUUUUUUAGAGCAAACUAUUUGUUUUCAAGCUGUAACCAGGUUAUGUGUCCACACCAAACAACAAUACUCGAAUUAAGCAGAUGCACAAUUGCAUGUUAACAGUAAUUAAGCCAUUAAUUUUGAGAAUAAUUAGUAUCUAAUUGUAUUUCACGUCCGUCCAAUUUUUUGCGUUGAUAUUCUUAUAUGGUUUCUGUUUAAUAUAAAAUAUCUUAUUUAUGAAUUUGUGCAGAUAUUAUAAAAAAAAAUUAUAUUAGAUGUAUCUAUCACUGUGCGUCUCUAUUAUAACGUGGAUCAAGAUUCCUUUCUUAUCUUCAUCACUCUCACAUUCCUCUGUCUUCAAACUCACACAAAGAAAAAGAAACUAGAAAAUGACUCGACCGGCAAGAUUCCUCGAGACGGCGGCGACGCCACCACAACCGUCGGAGCAGAUGCUUGCGGCGGAAUCCGACAUGGUUGUGAUCUUGUCGGCUCUUCUCUGCGCUCUCAUAUGCGUAGCUGGCCUUGCCGCCGUCGUACGCUGCGCUUGGCUCCGACGGUUUACCACCGGAGAAAAUUCUCCGUCGGCGAACAAAGGCCUGAAGAAGAAAGCUCUCCAGUCUCUCCCAAGAUCCACUUUCACCGCGGCGGAAUCAACCUCCGGCACGGCCGCCGAAGACGGUGGAGAUUCGACGGAAUGUGCGAUUUGUCUCAGUGAUUUCGCCGACGGCGAAGAGAUCAGAGUGCUUCCUCUCUGUGGCCAUUCCUUCCACGUGGAGUGUAUUGACAAAUGGCUUGUCUCCAGGUCUUCGUGUCCUUCUUGUCGCCGGAUUCUUAGGCCGGUGAGAUGUGACCGGUGCGGUCACGCUUCCACGGCGGGGAGUCAAAUGAAAGAUCAUCAACAUCACCAACACUCGUCGCAGCUCACUUCCUCUAUUCCUACUUUUCUUCCUUAACACUAAUUUUUUCUUAAGUAUCUGAAUAAUUAAUUCAGAAAGUAUGUAAAGUGAGUUUCAUUAGUAAAAUUCUUAGGAAAUAGAGAUCUUUUGUGUGAUUUUUCUUGUAAUUUAUCGUGUUUAAAUCAAUUAGAUGGAGUUUAUAGUUCUUUUUUUUAUCAAAGGAGUUUAUAGUUCUUGAUGUUUAUUUACAAGUAAAUUAUAUAAUAUAAAUGAAAAUUUAUUACACAAAUAAAUUGAUUAUUGAUUAGACAGCUUCUGCAGUGACAAAAAAAAAAAAAAGAUUAGACAGCUUCUGGAGACGGCCAUGUGAUACCUGAACACAAAGUCCAUACCCCCUCGGUCCCUCCGGAAAACUACCAAAUUUAUUUCCAGGGAAAUACAAAUACUUCUCUUACAUUUGGAUAAAACUUGUUUUUCUCUUGUCUAGACUCUAUAGUGAAAGCUGUUUUACAAUCAAAAUUCUGCAAUAUAAAAAUAUGUUUCAUAAAUGUUGACAUAUCCGGUUAAUUUGAAGUAUGUAACAGUUAUCAAAGGGUUAACGAGAUGUAUACAUUACUCCAAUAAAUAUUUUUAUUUACACUUUGGUCGAAUCAUUAGUAAUUUUAUAAUUUAUUAGCCACUUUUCUCUAUGGGUUUCUAGAGCCUUGCAACAAACACAGCCCAACAGAUAUAACGGAUCAGUUAACAAUGGUGAACCAAAAGGAAAAGUUGAUAUUUUAGGCCUCGGCAUUUGAGAAUUCGAGUUCGGUCUAUUUAUUGGAUCUUCGGAUCAUGUUCAUAAAUCUCAUUUAAAUUCUUUAAUUUUCAUGUCAACUGGACAUGACGGAACCGAGAAGGUGUUCCAACUCUCAAGCCUUGUAUAUUGGCAACGAGUAACGCCUCGUUGACAUCCAUCCCGCCAGCUGAGGAGAUUAAGCGAGCUCUCUUUGCCAUACAUCCGACAAAGUCCAGGCCCAUAUGGUUUCACAGUCUGCUUCUCCUGUCUAACUGGUAAACAAUGGGUCCAGUAAAUAUUGGUUGAAGUCCGAGGCUUCUUCUUAUUGGCCAUCUACAUUAUUAACAGCUAUAUUAUUAUUUUCAAAAUGAAUUUUACAUUCAAACUUUCACAUUAAAAAUUUAAAUCGGCUAAAUACGUUGUUACUCUUAAUGCAUAACUAAAUUUGUUAAUAUAUAAUAUAAAAUUAGCCAUAAACUAAAAAAAAUUUCAUUAAUUUGAUAAUUAUUAGAAUCUAAAAAAUAGUUUAGUUAUAUUGUGUUAUCCAAAAAAUAUUUUACAUCGAAAAAAUUUAGGAUAGAAAGAUAAAUACAUAUAUAGCUUUGUAUAUAGUUUUUUAAUAUAAAUGAGUGUUUUCAAGUUUACUUUAGGCAAUACAGAUAAUUUUAUUAUUAUGAAAAACUUUGGAAUAUAUAAAUAUUUAUCUUUAAUUUAUUACUAAAUAUUUUUUCAAGCUUAUUUUAGACGAUAAAAAGUAUUUAAAUUGUGAUGAAAUACUUUGUUAUAUAUAAGUAAUUUAUUAUCAAAUAUUAAAUGCAUGAACAAUGAUUUAUUAUAAUGGUUUUUAAAUUGAUAAUGUAUCUAUCUAUAAAUAUAUAUAAAAUUAUUAUGUUGUGGUAAAUUUUAUGUUUAUUAAUUCAAAGUAAAUAUAUAUAUAUCUAUCUUUAAAAAUUAGUAAUACAAAGUUGUGGUAAAUUUUAUGUUUUUGAUUAAAAGUUAAUUAAACAGGUUAAGAUUUGUGAGUUUUUUGUUAAAAGCAAAUAGAACAAAGAAUUAAAAGCAAAUUCUAAGUUUUUUUUUUCCAGAAAGCGAAACAAAAUUUUAAUUCCGAGUAAGACCGAGGACCACCCCCUUCUCUUCCCUUUUUGGUGUCCAGCGUUCUACCUUAACGGUACACAAGACACACAUUUGCUUGCUUUCUUCCCUCACUGCCUCAAAAUCGAAGAGUGAACAUCUAAUCUCCUCCUGAAUCAUACCCUCUGUUUUCUUUCUACAGUCAGUACCGUCUCUCUGUUUCCUUCCCGUCUGACUUUGUUGUUCGGUUUUGUUCUUAGGGUUCGUGUUCGAUUUUGUUGUUAGGGUCGUUUUGUCCAGAGUCAUGUAGACCCAUAAGAUCACUCGUGCUUUAGUGCUUAAAGACUCGUGCUUUUCUCCUAAAAGAGACAAUACUCCUUGCGAAAGUUGUGUUUUUUUCUUGCUUAUAGUGAUUCUGUUUUCUUGUUUCAGAGUGUCAAGAACAUCAUGGGCUCUCUUCUCUUUCUCUUAAAGGUAGCAAUCUCCUCUGCUUCUUUUGUUCUUGUUUUCAUCUUCUUUUUGCUUGAUCUUAGGUUUCUCGUCGCAGGAGAAGAAGGGAGUAUUGUGGAGAGGUUUGAAGGUAUCAGCAAUCUUUGGUCUUGGAUUCUGCACGCGUAUGUGGCACUAAAAGAUCUUUGGGUCAUUCAAUUAGUUUUAUGAUUUUGUAGCAGUUGGUUUUGGGAUUUUGAUGUGUGUGUUUAUUUUGUCUUUACUUCAGAUAAUGCUUUGACCAUUUAUCCAAAUGAGUUGAGUAAAAAAUCCCAAAAGGUAAUCAAGAAUUGGUGUUUUUGAAAGGCCACAGUUACAGUUGAUUUCUUAUGUCUCUUUUUCUCAUGUUUCAGGCGUUGGCUAAAGCGAAGUAUUUUGAAGAGGUAAGCAAGCAAUGGUGUUAUGCAUUUGAUUUUGAAAAGGCAUAGUUAUAUCGGUUGACCUGUAAUGUCUCAGGAGUAUAGGGCUAGGCUGGCUAGGGUGAAAGAACGCAGAAAAGAGUUGGACGAGAAUCUGCAGGUAAACACACAAGAAAUGGUGUUAAUGCAUCCAAAAUUUGUUGAUUUUUUUUUAAAAGGAUUGUGCUUGAUCUCUGUAAUUAAUCUCUUUCUCAUGCUGCUUCAGAUCUGCAGGGAUGGACUGGCAAAUGUGGAACAGCUUAAAAGAGAACUUGAAAAAGCUGAGAGGCCCGAACCUGUGGAAACGUGUUGUGAAUCUCAUGAAGAAUCUGUGUGGAGUUUCAUAUGAGCUAAAUGGAUCACAAGAAACGAUCUGAUUUGGUGCAGAACAGGAACCAAACUAAUUAAUUACUAAGUAGCUGAAGGCUGUGAUUGUCUCAUUAAUAUUAAACAUUGUAUUCACAACUCCGGUCAUGGUCUCAAAAUGUAUGCAAAGGGUUUUGGUACAUCUAAAGGAAACAAGAAUUGAAUUACAUCAAGAGGAACAAGAAUACAAUCACUUUGAGAUUACGAAAUUGAAUGACAUUUUUACCUCGGGACCCAGUCAGGUAUAUGAACGAAUACAAGUUAUACAUUUUGGGUUCUUUGUUUGAGCUUUUCAUAUCGUUUGAAAGCGGUGAGAAAACAAAUAUACCUGAUGAUAAAAAGGUCAGAAUUUGUCAAAGAGUAUG